Molecule: unclassified non-coding RNA, 377 nt
Filed under: uncultured Nocardioidaceae bacterium
Lineage: Bacteria; Bacillati; Actinomycetota; Actinomycetes; Propionibacteriales; Nocardioidaceae
Description: contains 16S-23S intergenic spacer region
Source: RNAcentral
UCCGAGUUGACCCCGGCAGUCUCCUAUGAGUCCCCACCAUUACGUGCUGGCAACAUAGGACGAGGGUUGCGCUCGUUGCGGGACUUAACCCAACAUCUCACGACACGAGCUGACGACAGCCAUGCACCACCUGUAUAGGGCCCUUGCGGACCUGACAUCUCUGCCAGUUUUCCCUAUAUGUCAAACCCAGGUAAGGUUCUUCGCGUUGCAUCGAAUUAAUCCACAUGCUCCGCCGCUUGUGCGGGCACCCGUCAAUUCCUUUGAGUUUUAGCCUUGCGGCCGUACUCCCCAGGCGGGGCGCUUAAUGCGUUUGCUGCGGCACGGAACUCGUGGAAUGAGUCCCACACCUAGCGCCCAACGUUUACGGCGUGGACUAC